Molecule: ribosomal RNA, 200 nt
Filed under: uncultured bacterium
Lineage: Bacteria
Description: partial 16S ribosomal RNA
Rfam family: Bacterial small subunit ribosomal RNA
Source: RNAcentral
UACGGAGGGUGCGAGCGUUAAUCGGAAUUACUGGGCGUAAAGCGCACGCAGGCGGUUUGACAAGCUAGAUGUGAAAGCCCCGGGCUCAACCUGGGAAUUGCAUUUAGAACUGUCAGACUAGAGUCAUCUAGAGGGGAGUGGAAUUCCAGGUGUAGCGGUGAAAUGCGUAGAUAUCUGGAGGAACAUCAGUGGCGAAGGCG